RNAcentral lists this unclassified non-coding RNA (519 nucleotides) under uncultured Diversispora. Its description in RNAcentral is "bacterial SSU rRNA". It matches the Rfam family "Eukaryotic small subunit ribosomal RNA", at positions 569 to 1088 of the family's 1831-position model. The record is from RNAcentral. Lineage: Eukaryota; Fungi; Glomeromycota; Glomeromycetes; Diversisporales; Diversisporaceae.
AGCAGCCGCGGUAAUUCCAGCUCCAAUAGCGUAUAUUAAAGUUGUUGCAGUUAAAAAGCUCGUAGUUGAACUUCAGGCCUGUCCAGAUGGUCCGCCUUAAUUGGUGUGUACUGUCCUUGGGUGGGUCCUACCUUCUGGCGAAGCGGCAUGGCCUUAAUUGGUUGUGUUGGGGAACCAGGACUUUUACUGUGAAAAAAUUUAGAGUGUUCAAAGCAGGCAAAUAUGCUCGAAUACAUUAGCAUGGAAUAAUGGAAUAGGACGAUGGUUCUAUUUUGUUGGUUCUAGGACCGUUGUAAUGAUUAAUAGGGAUAGUUGGGGGCAUUAGUAUUCAAUUGUCAGAGGUGAAAUUCUUGGAUUUAUUGAAGACUAACUACUGCGAAAGCAUUUGCCAAGGAUGUUUUCAUUAAUCAAGAACGAAAGUUAGGGGAUCGAAGACGAUCAGAUACCGUCGUAGUCUUAACCAUAAACUAUGCCGACCAGGAAUCGGGCGAUGUUGACAAAAUGACUCGCUCGGCACCU